Molecule: unclassified non-coding RNA, 312 nt
Filed under: plant metagenome
Description: partial contains 5.8S ribosomal RNA, internal transcribed spacer 2, and large subunit ribosomal RNA
Rfam family: 5.8S ribosomal RNA (bases 1-105)
Source: RNAcentral
GAAAUGCGAUAAGUAAUGUGAAUUGCAGGAUUCCGUGAAUCAUCGAAUCUUUGAACGCACAUUGCGCCCUCUGGCAUUCCGGGGGGCAUGCCUGUCCGAGCGUCAUUACGCACCCUCAAGCCCGGCUUGUGUGAUGGGCCCCGGCGUCUCGUUCGCGAGACGGGCCCGAAAGGCAGCGGCGGUGUCGACCCGAUGAGCCCGAGCGUAUGGGGACUUCUGUCACACGUUCGCGGUGCGGACCGGCGCCUGCUUGACUUUUCUGAUUAUCCAGGUUGACCUCGGAUCAGGUAGGGAUACCCGCUGAACUUAAGC